Papaver somniferum (opium poppy) is the source of this 1066-nucleotide long non-coding RNA. RefSeq lists it as uncharacterized. Lineage: Eukaryota; Viridiplantae; Streptophyta; Magnoliopsida; Ranunculales; Papaveraceae. The record is from RefSeq and is a predicted model, not a curated record. The transcript has 3 exons.
CCUUGCUCAUCUCUCUCUCUUCAACUCUACAGACCUGAAAUAACCUUAUUUCCCCUUUCUCAUAUCUUUCUCUCUUCAACUCUGCAAACCCGAAUAAUUUUUUUUCCAUCACCUUCAUCAGUGUUACGAAGUUUUUCUGCUCAAAAUAAAAGAAACCCUAGAAUUAAAAUUCCUUUUAUUUCUCAAUAACAAUUCAAAGUAGAUAUAAACACACAGAUCUGAAGAACAAUAGUUUGAAUCGAAGAGGAAACAAUAGAUUAGAAUCCUUCUUCAAUUUUUGUUUUUCGAUUCAUUUUCUCUUGUAACUAGUGUUCUCAUGUGUUUAAAGAAGAAAAUAUGUCUACCUGAUUUCGAUGGCCUUGCUGAUGUAAGUUCCUAGUUGUAGAAAUUUAAUUUGAUUUCUCAAUAUUUUUCUGAGAUUUACUUUUCCCGAGAGUUCAGUAUAAAUAACCAGCGAAACAGGCCAGUUUGAUUCACAAAUUCGAUUCCAUCUCUCAACGAUUCACAAAAAUUUUCCAUCUCAAAACCCUAGUAUUCAUAAUCAUUUUAGGUUAUCAACGGAAGGAACUGCAACUGCAAACGUUGUUGGUAAGGGAGGAAGAACAUGCGGUUACAGAAAGAAAGUCGUAAAAAAAAUCAGCCAAAGCUGGAUUGCAAUUCCCAGUCGGAAGAAUCACACUUUUCUUGAAGAAAGGUCGUUACUCCCAACGUCUUGGUUCCGGUGCUCCCGUUUACAUGGCUGCUGUGCUUGAGUAUCUAGCUGCUGAGGUCUAUCUGUCAUAAAAUCUACCAGGGAAAAGGUGCAAUGCUCCCAUCCCUGCAGUGCAUUCAAUGGUGAUGGUUGAGUUUGUUAAGCUUGGCAAAGAUCUUAUGGGAAUCGGUUUUGUUUCUGGAAUGUAGAAUACUGAAGUGAGUUUGUUUAUUAGUGUCAACAGAUAUUCAAAAUGAUUAUUAUGCCUUGCUGGUUAAUUAUUAUAUUAACAGAUGUUCAAAAUGAUUUUGAGAUGCCUGAGGUAUAUCAGAGAUACAUAGAAGUGAAGUUAAUAUAUAUUUGGUUUCCAGCUGA